GACGAACGCUGGCGGCGUGCUUAACACAUGCAAGUCGAACGGAAAGGCCCUGCUUUUGUGGGGUGCUCGAGUGGCGAACGGGUGAGUAACACGUGAGUAACCUGCCCUUGACUUUGGGAUAACUUCAGGAAACUGGGGCUAAUACCGGAUAGGAGCUCCUGCUGCAUGGUGGGGGUUGGAAAGUUUCGGCGGUUGGGGAUGGACUCGCGGCUUAUCAGCUUGUUGGUGGGGUAGUGGCUUACCAAGGCUUUGACGGGUAGCCGGCCUGAGAGGGUGACCGGCCACAUUGGGACUGAGAUACGGCACAGACUCCUACGGGAGGCAGCAGUGGGGAAGAUUGCACAAUGGGCGGAAGCCAGAUGCAGCAACGCCGCGUGCGGGAUGACGGCCUUCGGGUUGUAAACCGCUUUCGCCUGUGACGAAGCGUGAGUGACGGUAAUGGGUAAAGAAGCACCGGCUAACUACGUG
RNAcentral lists this ribosomal RNA (468 nucleotides) under uncultured bacterium. RNAcentral describes it as "partial 16S ribosomal RNA". It matches the Rfam family "Bacterial small subunit ribosomal RNA", at positions 28 to 507 of the family's 1533-position model. The record is from RNAcentral.